GAUGAACGCUGGCGGUGUGCCUAAUACAUGCAAGUCGAACGAAGUCUUCGGACUUAGUGGCGAACGGGUGAGUAACACGUUGGUACCUACCCUCUAGUGGGGAAUAACUGCCCGAAAGGGUGCUAAUACCGCAUAAUACCGCAAGGUUAAAGCAGUAAUGCGCUAGAGGAGGGGCCUGCGUCUGAUUAGCUAGUUGGUGAGGUAAUAGCUCACCAAGGCUACGAUCAGUAGCNGGAUCGAGAGGUUGACCAGCCACACUGGGACUGAGAUACGGCCCAGACUCCUACGGGAGCAGCAGUAGGAUCUUCCACAAUGGACGAAGUCUGAUGGAGCAACACCGCGUGCAGGAUGACGGUCUUCGGAUUGUAAACUGCUUUUGCUGAUGAACAAUUUUUGAGCGUAGUCAGCGAAUAAGAGGUUGCUAACUCUGUGCCAGCCGCCG
RNAcentral lists this ribosomal RNA (442 nucleotides) under uncultured bacterium. RNAcentral's name for it is "bacterial SSU rRNA". It matches the Rfam family "Bacterial small subunit ribosomal RNA", at positions 28 to 517 of the family's 1533-position model. The record is from RNAcentral.